This is a non-coding RNA of Piliocolobus tephrosceles (Ugandan red Colobus), 2871 nucleotides long. The record is from the annotation of a RefSeq genome assembly. Lineage: Eukaryota; Metazoa; Chordata; Mammalia; Primates; Cercopithecidae.
AGAAGAGGAUUUUGUGAACCUCACUCAGAAUUUCUAGCUCUGUCUUAGAGUUAAUUUAGGGAGCAGUCGAAUCCAGCCAUGAGAAACAGGCCAGACAGUGAGACUGGCUCUUACCAGAUGUGAGCUCUUAGACAUGUCCCACGGCCCCUGUGGCAUCGGGGGUUUACAUUCACAUCUGUAAAUGAAGGAAACAUUGACUCCCACAGAACACACUUCAUGUGAAUCUGUAAGUAGAAACGCUAAUGAGAAUUAAUUAUUUAUGAAGCAUGGGCACUCGCAUCCAUGCUGGGACACAGCCUAUUCUGAGGCAUCCCUUCCAGAACUCGCUAUAUAGUAGGAGACAUGCAAAUAAGUCCCUCCCUCUGCUGAUGAAAACCAGCCCAGCCCUGACCCUGCAGCUCUGGGAGAGGAGCCCCAGCCUGGGAUUCCCAGGUGUUUCCAUUCAGUGAUCAGGACUGAACACACAGGACCCACCAUGGAAUUUAGGCUGAGCUGGGUUUUCCUUGUUGCCAUAUUAGAAGGUGAUUCAUGGAGAACUAGAGAUAUUGAGUGUGUCCAGUGUGAGGAGCAGCUGGUGGAGUCUGGGGGAGGCUUGGUACAGCCUGGGGCAUCCCUGAGGCUCUCCUGUGCAGCCUCUGGAUUCACCUUCAGUAGCUAUGACAUGCACUGGGUUCGCCAGGCUCCAGGGAGAGGUCUGGAGUGGGUCUCAGCUAUUAGCGUUGGUGGUGGCACAUACUACCCAGACUCUGUGAAGGGUCGAUUCACCAUCUCCAGAGACAAUGCCAAGAACUCCUUGUAUCUUCAAAUGGACAGCCUGAGAGCCGAGGACACGGCCAUGUAUUACUGUGCAAGAGACACAGUGAGGGGAAGUCAAUGUGAGCCCAGACACAAACCUCCCUGCAGGGACACUGGAGGAAAUCAGCUGCAGGGGUUGCUCAGGAGCCACUGAUCAGAGUCAACCCCAGAGACAGGUGCACAUGGAGGCUGAUUUCCUGUCAGGAUGUGGGACUUCAUCUUUUUACUCUUUCUCUAGGGAACCUCUCUAAGUUCAGCAUCCUGUGCUUACCAACGUCAUCUCUACUGAUUUUUAAAAUGAUAAUUUUAAUGUGAGAACCUGUUCUCAUAUGUACACAACGCAGAUUGAUGCUUACGGAGAUGAAAAGUCCUCAACCAUGGUCACCAGGAUCAGAGUCAUGAGGAAACGCAGGGUGCCUCGUGAGUCUUCUUCAAUUAGACUCAGGCCAGAAAUCUCAGUGAGAUUCCCUGACUAGAACAGUCUUUAGGAAUUUUGAUCACAGCCAAUAGAGAGGCUGGGCCAGGGUCAGUGUCAUGGAGAACUUCAGAGGUUUCACGUCUGAUCCUUCUACUGACACUAAAGUAUGAAAUCAGAAUCAGCACUGAUCUGGGAUGCCUUUUACUCUUAGCCCAUUCUAUUUCUUUUUGUUUGUUGUUGUUCUUGCUUUUUCUUGUACUGCUUCUGCUCCAUGUAAAGUGGGGAUGUGGUUCUCGCUGCUAAAGCUCCGGGCCUCAAGCCCAUUCCCUGCAGCUCAGGUGGGGCUUAGACUGUGGCUGCUGCAGGCUGACUUUCUUCUCUCCCAUUGCUCAGCACCCUGCAGUGUGUUGACUUACCUGGGAAUGCAAGUGGCCAAUAGUAGUGAAGGGGAUGAGCUUGUGUGGACAAAAUGGGAUGUGGAUGUGAAAUUUAUCCUGUGCUGUGCAAAGUACCACAGAGUCACCUUCCUCACCAGUAUACUGUGUUAGAAAGAAGGUGUGAAAGUUGUCAGAAUCAAAAUGAAGCCACUUGUGUUAACACCCUGACAAAUGGAACUACGAAUGACCAGGAAGAAGGGUUCCCACGUACAUACUCCUGAUAACAAGAGCUACCAUAAAUGGAUUCUGCUUAACCACAACCUUGGAUAGCAGCCACCAAAACCUUUUAAAAAUCGCUUCUACAAGGACAUCUUCCCAGCAGCUGCCUGUUUAACCCUACACUGAUGCCACCCUUGGUGUUGAUUCCACGUGCAAAGAAUAAUUCUUUCAAAACAACUUAUGUAACCCACCUCAUUUUUACUUCCUAAACCUAUGGAUUGACAUCCUGGAGUCACUGCUGCAUUUGUUCUUAAUGUUAAUUAGCCCCUUUACAAUAUUUGAAUCUGUUUUUCUCUGAUGUCUCUUCUAAUAUAAAGAAUUACCAUGUUGACACCAAUUAAGAAGCUAUUUAGGAAGAUGUAACAGGAAGACAUUUUUAACAUCCUGUUGAAUGUUUCUGCAUAGCACAUCGAUCCCCUAAAAUACUUUGCUAUAUCGGCAUGUGAUGAAUCAGAGUAUGACAUUGAAGGUGACAUGCGAAAUACAAGGGCUUGUGAUGAAUCAAUUCAUAGGGUGAUAAUGUGUGUGUCCUUGAGGAAGGAGACCAUGGGUUGUAAGUUCUAGUAGGGGUGCCUUUGGCAAAGGGAGUUCCUGAGUUUCUGAACGUUAUGCUACCUUUAACUCAAGGAUGCAAUUUACGAUUUCUUUUUACUUAAAUAUUUCCAGAAGACAUUUGGCAGUAAUCGCAGGGUAGUAUUCAUGUAGUACUGAUGACUUAGAGAGUUAUUUUUUAAUUGUUCCUGUAAGUUAUGCACAUUGCUCACUUGAUGCAGAAGUUCAAAUUGUCAGUUAGGAAAACAGGUAUACUAUAGAUUUUAUGAACUGUAAUGAUGGUAGUUUUUCGCAAGAAACUGUUUCGUGUCAACCUGAAAAUAAACAGACAACAAUAAAAAAUAUUCCAAUCCACAGGGAGUCUGACCUCUGUCCCUCUCUCUUCUUAUAAGUACAAGUCUUUGCCACAUCCAAAAUAUUCUUCAGGCUCCAGGGUAUAAAAUGCUUUUA